RNAcentral lists this transfer RNA (85 nucleotides) under Felis catus (domestic cat). It matches the Rfam family "tRNA". From Rfam's summary of the family: Transfer RNA (tRNA) molecules are approximately 80 nucleotides in length. Their secondary structure includes four short double-helical elements and three loops (D, anti-codon, and T loops). Further hydrogen bonds mediate the characteristic L-shaped molecular structure. tRNAs have two regions of fundamental functional importance: the anti-codon, which is responsible for specific mRNA codon recognition, and the 3' end, to which the tRNAs corresponding amino acid is attached (by aminoacyl-tRNA synthetases). tRNAs cope with the degeneracy of the genetic code in two manners: having more than one tRNA (with a specific anti-codon) for a particular amino acid; and 'wobble' base-pairing, i.e. permitting non-standard base-pairing at the 3rd anti-codon position. Lineage: Eukaryota; Metazoa; Chordata; Mammalia; Carnivora; Felidae. The record is from Rfam by way of RNAcentral.
GCCUGGGUGGCUCAGUUGGUUAAGCAUCUGACUUUGGCUCAGGUCAUGAUCUCAUGGUUUGUGAGUUCAAGCCCCACGUCGGGCU